RNAcentral lists this ribosomal RNA (539 nucleotides) under uncultured bacterium. RNAcentral's name for it is "bacterial SSU rRNA". It matches the Rfam family "Bacterial small subunit ribosomal RNA", at positions 355 to 896 of the family's 1533-position model. The record is from RNAcentral.
UGAGGAAUAUUGGACAAUGGGCGCAAGCCUGAUCCAGCCAUGCCGCGUGCAGGAAGACGCAUCUAUGGUGUGUAAACUGCUUUUGUACGGGAAGAAACACUCCCUCGUGAGGGAGCUUGACGGUACCGUAAGAAUAAGGAUCGGCUAACUCCGUGCCAGCAGCCGCGGUAAUACGGAGGAUCCAAGCGUUAUCCGGAAUCAUUGGGUUUAAAGGGUCCGUAGGCGGUUUAAUAAGUCAGUGGUGAAAGCCCAUCGCUCAACGAUGGAACGGCCAUUGAUACUGUUAGACUUGAAUUACAAGGAAGUAACUAGAAUAUGUAGUGUAGCGGUGAAAUGCUUAGAUAUUACAUGGAAUACCAAUUGCGAAGGCAGGUUACUACUUGUGGAUUGACGCUGAUGGACGAAAGCGUGGGGAGCGAACAGGAUUAGAUACCCUGGUAGUCCACGCCGUAAACGAUGGAUACUAGCUGUUGGGAGCAAUUUCAGUGGCUAAGCGAAAGUGAUAAGUAUCCCACCUGGGGAGUACGUUCGCAAGAAUG